AAAAAAGCCGGAAUAGCUCAGUUGGUAGAGCAGAGGACUGAAAAUCCUCGUGC
Molecule: transfer RNA, 53 nt
Filed under: Campylophyllum halleri
Lineage: Eukaryota; Viridiplantae; Streptophyta; Bryopsida; Hypnales; Hypnaceae
Description: partial tRNA-Phe
Rfam family: tRNA (bases 7-53)
About the family: Transfer RNA (tRNA) molecules are approximately 80 nucleotides in length. Their secondary structure includes four short double-helical elements and three loops (D, anti-codon, and T loops). Further hydrogen bonds mediate the characteristic L-shaped molecular structure. tRNAs have two regions of fundamental functional importance: the anti-codon, which is responsible for specific mRNA codon recognition, and the 3' end, to which the tRNAs corresponding amino acid is attached (by aminoacyl-tRNA synthetases). tRNAs cope with the degeneracy of the genetic code in two manners: having more than one tRNA (with a specific anti-codon) for a particular amino acid; and 'wobble' base-pairing, i.e. permitting non-standard base-pairing at the 3rd anti-codon position.
Source: RNAcentral